Lolium perenne is the source of this 155-nucleotide non-coding RNA. The record is from RefSeq and is a predicted model, not a curated record. Lineage: Eukaryota; Viridiplantae; Streptophyta; Magnoliopsida; Poales; Poaceae.
AUGUCUUGGGAGUGCCAGUGGAAUUUGCACCGUGGUUGGUUUCCUCAAUACCUUGUGCGCCGGCUGGGAUGGAGGGAGAGCAGGCCAAAAACUGCAAGAAAUCCACAAUACCUUGUGAGCCUACUGGCAGGGAUGGAGGGAGAGCAGGCCAAAAA